CACAAAAACAGAGGAAUCUCCUGAUUCUCCAGGGUUAGGGCGUUCCCAGGCUCACAGCGCUGCUCAGGAGAAGAAGUUUGACUUGCUCUCAGACCUGGGAGGAGACAUCUUUGCUGCACCACCCACUCAAACUGCCAGCUCUACCAACUUUGCCAACUUUGCACAUUUUCCAAGCCAAUCGGCACCUCAGGGUAAUUCAAAUACCAACUUUGCCAACUUUGAGGCAUUGGGAAACACUACA
Long non-coding RNA from Monopterus albus (swamp eel), 241 nucleotides. RefSeq lists it as uncharacterized. NCBI's taxonomy places the organism in Eukaryota, Metazoa, Chordata, Actinopteri, Synbranchiformes, Synbranchidae. The record is from RefSeq and is a predicted model, not a curated record. The transcript is spliced from 3 exons.